CCAAUAGCGUAUAUUAAAGUUGUUGCAGUUAAAAAGCUCGUAGUUGAAUUUCGGGGUCAGCAGGUUGGUCGUGCCAAUGGUAUGCACUGGCCUUGCUGAUUCCUCCCUCUUGAUGAGCCGUAAUGCCAUUAAUUUGGUGUUGCGGGGAAUCAGGACUGUUACUUUGAAAAAAUUAGAGUGUUUAAAGCAGGCAAGCGCUUGAAUACAUUAGCAUGGAAUAAUGAAAUAGGACGUUUGAUCCUAUUUUGUUGGUUUCUAGGAUUGACGUAAUAAUUAAUAGGGAUAGUUGGGGGCAUUAGUAUUCAAUUGUCAGAGGUGAAAUUCUUGGAUUUAUUGAAGACUAACUACUGCGAAAGCAUUUGCCAAGGAUGUUGUCAUUAAUCAAGAACGAAAGUUAGGGGAUCGAAGACGAUCAGAUACCGUCGUAGUCUUAACCAUAAACUAUGCCGACUAGGGAUCGGAUGAUGUUAAUUUUUUAAUGACUCAUUCGGCGCCUUACG
This 500-nucleotide ribosomal RNA is filed under the name uncultured Glomeromycotina. Its description in RNAcentral is "partial small subunit ribosomal RNA". It matches the Rfam family "Eukaryotic small subunit ribosomal RNA", at positions 591 to 1092 of the family's 1831-position model. Lineage: Eukaryota; Fungi; Glomeromycota. The record is from RNAcentral.